RNAcentral lists this ribosomal RNA (407 nucleotides) under uncultured bacterium. Its description in RNAcentral is "bacterial SSU rRNA". It matches the Rfam family "Bacterial small subunit ribosomal RNA", at positions 355 to 776 of the family's 1533-position model. The record is from RNAcentral.
UGGGGAAUAUUGCACAAUGGGGGAAACCCUGAUGCAGCAACGCCGCGUGAGGGAAGAAGGUUUUCGGAUUGUAAACCUCUGUCCCUGGUGACGAAGACAGUGACGGUAACCAGGGAGGAAGCCACGGCUAACUACGUGCCAGCAGCCGCGGUAAUACGUAGGUGGCAAGCGUUGUCCGGAUUUACUGGGUAUAAAGGGAGCGCAGGCGGGGAAGCAAGUCAGCGGUGAAAUACAUGGGCUUAACCCAUGAACUGCCGUUGAAACUGUUUUUCUUGAGUGAAGUAGAGGCAGGCGGAAUUCCGAGUGUAGCGGUGAAAUGCGUAGAUAUUCGGAGGAACACCAGUGGCGAAGGCGGCCUGCUGGGCUUUUACUGACGCUGAGGCUCGAAAGCGUGGGGAGCAAACAGG